GAUGAACGCUGGCGGCGUGCCUAAUACAUGCAAGUCGAGCGAACAGACGAGGAGCUUGCUCCUCUUACGUUAGCGGCGGACGGGUGAGUAACACGUGAGUAACCUACCUAGAAGACUGGGAUAACUUCGGGAAACCGGAGCUAAUACCGGAUAAUAUAUUGAACCGCCUGGUUCAAUAGGGAAAGACGGUUUUGCUGUCACUUAUAGAUGGAUCCGCGCCGCAUUAGCUAGUUGGUAAGGUAACGGCUUACCAAGGCGACGAUGCGUAGCCGACCUGAGAGGGUGAACUGCCACCCUGAAACUGAGACAGGGCCCAGACUCCUACGGGAGGCAGCAGUAGGGACUCUUACGCAAUGGGCGAAAGCGUGACGGAGCACAGCCGCGUGAGCGAUGAAGGUCUUAGGAUCGUAAAACUCUGUUAUUAGGGAAGAACAAAUGUGUAAGUAACUAUGCACGUCUUGACGGUACCUAACAAGAAAGCCACGGCUAACUACGUG
This 497-nucleotide ribosomal RNA is filed under the name uncultured bacterium. Its description in RNAcentral is "partial 16S ribosomal RNA". It matches the Rfam family "Bacterial small subunit ribosomal RNA", at positions 28 to 507 of the family's 1533-position model. The record is from RNAcentral.